This 407-nucleotide ribosomal RNA is filed under the name uncultured bacterium. RNAcentral describes it as "partial 16S ribosomal RNA". It matches the Rfam family "Bacterial small subunit ribosomal RNA", at positions 30 to 526 of the family's 1533-position model. The record is from RNAcentral.
AUUGAACGCUGGCGGCAGGCCUAACACAUGCAAGUCGAGCGGAGCGACGGACGGGUGAGUAAGGCCUAGGAAUCUGCCUGGUCGUGGGGGAUAACGUCCGGAAACGGGCGCUAAUACCGCAUACUAUCAGAUGAGCCUAGGGGGGUUUAGCUCGUUGGUGGGGUAAAGGGCUACCAAGGAGACGAUCCGUAACUGGUCUGAGAGGAUGAUCAGUCACACUGUAACUGAGACACGGUCCAGACGCCUACGGGAGGCAGCAGUGGGGAAUAUUGGACAAUGGGCGAAAGCCUGAUGCAGCCAUGCGGCGUGUGUGAAGAAGGUCUUCGGAUUGUAAAGCACUUUAAGUUGGGAGGCGUUACCAACAGAAUAAGCACCGGCUAACUCCGUGCCAGCAGCCGCGGUAAUAC